This 614-nucleotide ribosomal RNA is filed under the name uncultured archaeon. RNAcentral's name for it is "partial 16S ribosomal RNA". It matches the Rfam family "Archaeal small subunit ribosomal RNA", at positions 227 to 859 of the family's 1478-position model. The record is from RNAcentral.
AGGUAGUUGUUGGGGUAACGGCCCAACAAGNNUGUCAUCGGUACGGGUUGUGGGAGCAAGAGCCCGGAGAUGGAUUCUGAGACNNNAAUCCAGGCCCUACGGGGCGCAGCAGGCGCGAAAACUUUUCCAUGCGGGCAACCGUGAUAAGGAAACCCCGAGUGCCAGCACAGGCUGGCUGUCCAUCAGUGUAAAUAACUGGUGAAGAAAGGGCCGGGCAAGACCGGUGCCAGCCGCCGCGGUAAUACCGGCGGCUCGAGUGGUGGCCGCUAUUACUGGGCUUAAAGGGUCCGUAGCUGGAUAUACAAGUCCCUUGAGAAAUCCGCCGGCUUAACCGGUGGGCGUUCAGGGGAAACUGUAUUUCUAGGGACCGGGAGAGGUGAGAGGUACUGCCGGGGUAGGAGUGAAGUCCUGUAAUCCCGGUGGGACCACCUAUGGCGAAGGCAUCUCACCAGAACGGGUCCGACAGUGAGGGACGAAAGCUGGGGGAGCAAACCGGAUUAGAUACCCGGGUAGUCCCAGCUGUAAACGAUGCGCGUUAGGUGUGUCAGUGACCACGUGUCACUGAGGUGCCGAAGGGAANNNNNGGGGAGUACGGUCGCAAGGNNNAAACUUAA